UCUGCACAUGGAAUAUAACAAUUACC
RNAcentral lists this non-coding RNA (26 nucleotides) under Cricetulus griseus (Chinese hamster). Lineage: Eukaryota; Metazoa; Chordata; Mammalia; Rodentia; Cricetidae. The record is from RNAcentral.